GACGAACGCUGGCGGCGUGCUUAACACAUGCAAGUCGAGCGAUGAAGCUCCUUCGGGAGUGGAUUAGCGGCGGACGGGUGAGUAACACGUGGGUAACCUGCCUCAUAGAGGGGAAUAGCCUUUCGAAAGGAAGAUUAAUACCGCAUAAGAUUGUAGCUUCGCAUGAAGCAGAAAUUAAAGGAGUAAUCCGCUAUGAAAUGGACCCGCGUCGCAUUAGCUAGUUGGUGAGGUAACGGCUCACCAAGGCGACGAUGCGGAGCCGACCGGAGAGGGUGAUCGGCCACAUUGGGACUGAGACACGGCCCAGACUCCUACGGGAGGCAGCAGUGGGGAAUAUUGCACAAUGGGGGAAACCCUGAUGCAGCAACGCCGCGUGAGUGAUGACGGUCUUCGGAUUGUAAAGCUCUGUCUUCAGGGACGAUGAUGACGGUACCUGAGGAGGAAGCCACGGCUAACUACGUGCCAGCCGCCGCCGUAA
This 478-nucleotide ribosomal RNA is filed under the name uncultured bacterium. RNAcentral's name for it is "partial 16S ribosomal RNA". It matches the Rfam family "Bacterial small subunit ribosomal RNA", at positions 28 to 523 of the family's 1533-position model. The record is from RNAcentral.